Molecule: ribosomal RNA, 355 nt
Filed under: Escherichia coli
Lineage: Bacteria; Pseudomonadati; Pseudomonadota; Gammaproteobacteria; Enterobacterales; Enterobacteriaceae
Description: partial 23S ribosomal RNA
Rfam family: Bacterial large subunit ribosomal RNA
Source: RNAcentral
GGUUAAGCGACUAAGCGUACACGGUGGAUGCCUUGGCAGUCAGAGGCGAUGAAGGACGUGCUAAUCUGCGAUAAGCGUCGGUAAGGUGAUAUGAACCGUUAUAACCGGCGAUUUCCGAAUGGGGAAACCCAGUGUGUUUCGACACACUAUCAUUAACUGAAUCCAUAGGUUAAUGAGGCGAACCGGGGGAACUGAAACAUCUAAGUACCCCGAGGAAAAGAAAUCAACCGAGAUUCCCCCAGUAGCGGCGAGCGAACGGGGAGCAGCCCAGAGCCUGAAUCAGUGUGUGUGUUAGUGGAAGCGUCUGGAAAGGCGCGCGAUACAGGGUGACAGCCCCGUACACAAAAAUACACAU